Molecule: ribosomal RNA, 255 nt
Filed under: uncultured bacterium
Lineage: Bacteria
Description: partial 16S ribosomal RNA
Rfam family: Bacterial small subunit ribosomal RNA
Source: RNAcentral
UACGAAGGGGGCUAGCGUUGCUCGGAAUCACUGGGCGUAAAGAGCGCGCAGGCGGUCGUUCAAGUCGAGUGUGAAAGCCCCCCGGCUCAACUGGGGAGGGUCACUCGAUACUGAUCGACUCGAAGGCAGGAGAGGGAAGUGGAAUUCCCGGUGUAGUGGUGAAAUGCGUAGAUAUCGGGAGGAACACCAGUGGCGAAGGCGGCUUACUGGACCGUAACUGACGCUGAGACACGAAAGCGUGGGGAGCAAAACAGG